Long non-coding RNA from Oncorhynchus keta (chum salmon), 802 nucleotides. RefSeq lists it as uncharacterized. The record is from RefSeq and is a predicted model, not a curated record. The transcript has 6 exons. Lineage: Eukaryota; Metazoa; Chordata; Actinopteri; Salmoniformes; Salmonidae.
ACUACUGCAUAUAAGGUAUAACUUCAGACCGUUCCCCAGUACUACUGCAUAUAAGGUAUAACUUCAGACCGUCCCCCAGUACUACUGCAUAUAAGGUAUAACUUCAGACCGUCCCCCAGUACUACUGCAUAUAAGGUAUAACUUCAGACCGUCCCCCAGUACUACUGCAUAUAAGGUAUAACUUUAGACCGUCCCCCAGUACUACUGCAUAUAAGGUAUAACUUUAGACCGUCCCCCAGUACUACUGCAUAUAAGGUAUAACUUCAGACCGUCCCCCAGUACUACUGCAUAUAAGGUAUAACUUUAGACCGUCCCCCAGUACUACUGCAUAUAAGGUAUAACUUUAGACCGCCCCCCAGUACUACUGCAUAUAAGGUAUAACUUCAGACCGUCCCCCAGUACUACUGCAUAUAAGGUAUAACUUCAGACCGCCCCCAGUACUACUGCAUAUAAGGUAUAACUUCAGACCGUCCCCCAGUACUACUGCAUAUAAGGUAUAACUUCAGACCGUCCCCAGUACUACUGCAUAUAAGGUAUAACUUCAGACCGUCCCCCAGUACUACUGCAUAUAAGGUAUAACUUCAGACCGUCCCCCAGUACUACUGCAUAUAAGGUAUAACUUCAGACCGUCCCCCAGUACUACUGCAUAUAAGGUGCUGAUCACAUGUUUCAUGAACUGAAAUAAAAGAUUCCAGAAAUGUUCCAUACGCACAAAAAGCUCAAAUUGUGUGCAGAACUUUAUUUACGUCCCUGUCAGUGAGCAUUUCUCAUUUUGCCAAGAUAAUCCAUCCACCUGACAGGU